UCUGGUUAUAUAUGUUUAUUAGUUGUAGUCUUGCCGCACUGUCCGAGUUCUAUGGAAAUUAAAUGCCUUGCUUCUAGAUUUCUAAUUUAUGUGAGUUGGAGAGAUGUGUCAGCUAGGUUUUACCUCACCGCUCAGAUGUGGUGGCUAAUAUUCUACUUUGACUUGCAGGAAAGGAAGAUAUCUUUGGUGUCAACUGCUGGGCAAAGCUUGAGAUUGGCUGACUACUGUUGUCUUCUGUUUGCAGCGUCCUCCAACCAUAGGUUCAGUUCCUUGUCUGCUGCAGCCCCUGCUUUAACGAUGGUUGUGUGCUUCAGAUGUAUUAUGAACCAAGCUCAGGUUUCAGGUUUUACUUUACUGAAACUUUCAGUUGCAUGUACGGUGUAGCUGAUUUUUUAUUCACAUUAAAUUUUAUGUGUGAUCAGUUUGCUGCACUAAUUAUAUAAACAUACUCUUAGAGAUAACUUGUGUUUGAUUAUGGAAUACUAAUUGAUAUAAUUAAUUUGGGAAUUUCAUAUCAAGAUUUCUCUUUGGAAGAAUGAAUAUCAGGAUUGUGGUAGCUUGAUUCGUUCACUUUUCUUUGCACUGUAGCACACUUGCACAUCCUCUGAUUUUUCUAUAGAUGCUAUUGAUGCCAUAGUUCCUACUUUAGACUGCUUCCUCACAAUUCAUCUAUAUAGCCUUCUUGAUCCACCCCCAAUGCUCUGCCCUUGGUUUAAGGAACUAAAUGAUAUCAUUGUGUAUGUAGCAUGCAUCGGCGAAAUUCAACUUAGAUAACACGUAAUGUUAUUUUUUUUGGGAUUAACGCAUUUCAUCUCUGCCAAAACAUAUGUUAGAAAAAAAUUCCCUAAGACAUUUAUGUGGAAGUUUAUAUCAUGAUCUAGCUGUUUGAAUUGAUGUUGCUUCCUAGCUUUACUUUGAUUUCAAUAAAGAAUAAUCAACAUGGUCAAUUAUUCUUUUGUUGGGAGAACACUACUACAUAAAAUAUUUUGCAUGACCAAGGGAGGCGGGCAGAUUUUUCAAAACAGCCUCGGAGGCGGGCAGAUUUUUCAACCGCGUCGGAUAAUGUCUCCGAUUAACCGAUUCUUAUUAACCGAGACGGUCAUAAAAAACCGCCUCGCAAAAUCGAUUUACCAAGGCGGUCACCUUAAGACAACCGUCUCCAAAAAUAGUAUAUUUUAGGAGGCGGUUGUCUUAUAACAACCGCCUUCGUAAAUCUAUUAACCGAGGCGGGCGCGCUAUACGGCCCGUUUGAGAAAAUAGUGGCCCAACAGGCAGCCCAUCUUAGCCCAGUAUCACUCAUCAUAUAUAAACGUAGAGCAAGGGUUUCUUCUCCCUCUCACUCCCUCCCUCAGACCAACGCCGGCCCCUUCCCCUCCCCUUCUCUCAUUAGAUCCAGCAGCGCCGGCCCCUUCCCCUCCCCUCCUCUCUAGAUUCAGCGGCUCCCCCUCCCGGCCUCCCCUCCCCUCCCCUUCUUUCCUACUCUCUUUGGAUUCAGCGGCGCACGAGGAUGGCCAUGGCCUAGGCCCACGCACGGGGGUCCUUCAAGGUGGCGCAUGGGGCGGCCAUGGAGCGGGGGCUCCUCCUGGCCGUGCGUGGGGCGGCCCAGCGCCUCCCGGCUGCAAUGCAGGGUGGCUCGACCAUCCUGGCAGCGUGGAGCAGCAGCGGUGGCGGCCAUGGCUCUGCUCGAUGCUCACGCGCCCAACGAUUCCUCCACCUCUAGGUCACACGUCGGCGGUCUCGGGGCUCGCGUAUCUGGCCUCGGUGCUCAUGGAUCCAGCGAGGUUGUCAGUGGCAACGAGUGACAACAACGGCCCGUGGAUGGGCUUGGCAGGUGACUUGAUGGGCUUGUCGGGCCUGUCUAUGGGUUUUCUAUUUUUUUGUUUUUUGUUUGAUUAACCGAGGCGGGCACUUUAACCGCCUCGGAAAAGGUUUCAUUUAGUGUGACCUUUCGUUCGAGGCGGUUGCAUUGUCCGCCUCGGUUAAUCAUUUUUGCCUGCCUCGGUUAAUUUUUUGUGUAGUAGUGAAAUCUAUAGUUCCUGCUCUUGGCAUAAUUAACCCAAGGUAAUCAGCAGUCUACUACUUUCCAUGCUUUGGGGCCUACAUAUGGGUCCAUGCUAGGCUGUCAGAGUUCACACUUAGCAAGAGCCAUACUAAGCCUAUGAACUAUCUGUAUCCCUUAUUAUGGCCCUGGGCCCUGUUGUUGGUCCUGGUGCAACAAGUUUUGUUAGACAUAGCUGUGAUUGUGUGUAUCUAUUAUUGUUUCCUAUUUCUGCACCUUGGAGUGGCAUUUUUUCUAACCCUCCCAUUGUAGCAAAACACAGCUAAUGGAGCAACACAUGGACCAGGAAGCAUGUUUUUUUAACGAUGGUGAUGGUAGUAAAACUAGAAUUUUCUUUUUGCCAUAGUCAGCAUUGCAUCAGAUAACUUGGAAGCAAAACUUCAUUAUACCAAUGCAGGUAUGUGCGCUAAGUGAAAUUUGAUGAAUUUACUAUCUUGAAUACUAAUAAGGUGUGCAGUUUUGUAGUUUGGACUUUCGCUGUGAGAGAUUAGUGAACUUGUUGCUGCAUGCCAGAUGUUUACAAGGUCGUUACACUGAUGACAGUAGAACCUGCAACUUGUCUAGCGUGUACUUUAUUUAGCUCGGAUGUACAGAGAAAAGCUUUGUCCGUAUAAGAUUAUGUAAUAUUACCCUCAACGAUAAACAAUGAACAAACAAUUGUGAAUGAGAAUUUGUUGACAAUGUCUAAAAUAAUGUUUUCCAUUUAAACUUAUUUAGAAAAAUGAACCAUUAUGAUUUAUCUUGCUAUCAAUGCAUGAAGCAAUUAUUUGAUCAACCUGAUGAAAUUGAGGCUAUGGAAGAGGAGUCACGCAAGGCAACCGGGUGCCAGAUGUGCUAAAAUUAAGGCUCUGAAGAGAAAUCACGGUAGGUU
Molecule: long non-coding RNA, 2930 nt
Filed under: Sorghum bicolor (sorghum)
Lineage: Eukaryota; Viridiplantae; Streptophyta; Magnoliopsida; Poales; Poaceae
Description: long non-coding RNA (SBIC_LNC013600)
Source: RNAcentral